GGAAUUCAGAGGAUCAGCAGCAGUUGGAAUCUGCAAGGGAGAUCUUGGAUAUUGUUCCCCAAGUGAUCUUCCACAGUAAACAGUUGGUGAAUGACCUUGGUUCAGCACCUGCCACCACAGUUGUAGAACAAGAGACAGUGGGAAUACAAUCAGAGGGAAGGGCUCCACUUUGGAACCUGGGUACCAGAAUAGCUUUUUGGCUCUAAGCCAUGAUCCACACUAUCAAGUUCCCAGAAUGGAUGAGAAACUGGCAGAGAGGCAAGAUCUACAGGUGAUGAGGGACUUCAAUGAGCAGGACAUCUGCUGGAAGUCUCUUGCAGAACAUCUGAUGAAUUCUUGCUUGGUCUGGCUGACAACUUCAUCCCUCAGUAGGUAGAAAAAAGAAUAAAGAGAAACUGCUAUUCACGAAUUAAUUGUGACCAGUAAAGAAGGCCUGGAUAAUGAUAUGUAUGUAAUAGAAAAGAGAGAAAAAUGAUUCUGGCAUUUUUAAUAACUACUAAUAAGUUACAGUGUUACAUAAUUAUUAUAUAACCCUUAUAAUAAUUAUAACACUUUUAUUAAUGAAAUAUGGCAAUCACCUCUAUUCCUUUUGAG
Molecule: long non-coding RNA, 594 nt
Filed under: Chinchilla lanigera (long-tailed chinchilla)
Lineage: Eukaryota; Metazoa; Chordata; Mammalia; Rodentia; Chinchillidae
Description: lncRNA (ENSCLAG00000028500.1)
Source: RNAcentral